This 201-nucleotide long non-coding RNA is filed under the name Homo sapiens (human). RNAcentral's name for it is "HSALNT0274834". The record is from RNAcentral. Lineage: Eukaryota; Metazoa; Chordata; Mammalia; Primates; Hominidae.
CCAGUGAAACGGAGCUCACUAUGUGAGGAGGGUCCGCUUAAGCUGCUUCUCUGGUUUCUAACCAAAUGGUUUGUCUGUCGAUGAGCAGUGCCUGUGUGAGAUGUGGCGAGCGAGCUCUUCUUUUGGAGCUGGAGGCCCUGUAGGGAGUCGUCUUUUAAGGCUUCCACUUGUAUUUGAGCAGAACCUUGGGAACUUGGUGCC